UCUGCCCACAGACUUGAGGGGAAAUAGAGGCAUCAAAAUAAAAUACUACUGAACUGAAUCUCUAUUGCUUUCAGGUAGAAACUCAAGUGGAAUGUGCAAUAAUGAAAUAAUAGAACAUAGGAAGUGUUAAUGGUUGAGUCUUUCACCUACCUUGAUGUCACCAUUAAUGUGUUCUUUGAAGAAAGAUCUUUCUAUGGACCCUUUCUACUGCAGCAGCAAAACCCUAAC
RNAcentral lists this long non-coding RNA (228 nucleotides) under Panax ginseng (ginseng). RNAcentral's name for it is "long non-coding RNA (PGIN_LNC007070)". Lineage: Eukaryota; Viridiplantae; Streptophyta; Magnoliopsida; Apiales; Araliaceae. The record is from RNAcentral.